GACGAGCGCUGGCGGCGUGCUUAACACGUGCGAGUCGAGCGAGGAGGCCGAGCUUGCUAGGUGGAUGAGUGGCGAACGGGGGAGUAAUACGUGAGUAACCUACCUUGAACUCUGGGAUAAGCCGGGGAAACUGGGGCUAAUACCGGAUACGACCAAUCUCCGCAUGGGGUGUUGGUGGAAAGCGUUAUGUAGUGGUUAUAGAUGGACUCGCGGCCUAUCAGCUUGUUGGUGAGGUAACGGCUCACCAAGGCGACGACGGGUAGCCGGCCUGAGAGGGUGACCGGCCACACUGGGACUGAGACACGGCCCAGACUCCUACGGGAGGCAGCAGUGGGGAAUAUUGUACAAUGGGCGCAAGCCUGAUGCAGCGACGCCGCGUGAGGGAUGACGGCCUUCGGGUUGUAAACCUCUGUUAGCAGGGAAGAAGAGAGAUUGACGGUACCUGCAGAGAAAGCGCCGGCUAACUACGUGCCAGCAGCCGCGGUAAUACGUAGGGCGCGAGCGUUGUCCGGAAUUAUUGGGCGUAAAGAGCUUGUAGGCGGUUUGUCGCGUCUGCUGUGAAGGCCGGAGCUUAACUCCGUGUAUUACAGUGGGUACGGGCAGACUAGAGUGCAGUAGGGGAGACUGGAAUUCCUGGUGUAGCGGUGGAAUGCGCAGAUAUCAGGAGGAACACCGAUGGCGAAGGCAGGUCUCUGGGCUGUAACUGACGCUGAGAAGCGAAAGCAUGGGGAGCGAACAGGAUUAGAUACCCUGGUAGUCCAUGCCGUAAACGUUGGGCACUAGGUGUGGGGAACAUUCCACGUUUUCCGCGCCGUAGCUAACGCAUUAAGUGCCCCGCCUGGGGAGUACGGCCGCAAGGCUAAAACUCAAAGAAAUUGACGGGGGCCCGCACAAGCGGCGGAGCAUGCGGAUUAAUUCGAUGCAACGCGAAGAACCUUACCAAGGCUUGACAUAUACUGGACCGCAUCAGAGAUGGUGUUUCCCUUCGGGGCUGGUAUACAGGUGGUGCAUGGUUGUCGUCAGCUCGUGUCGUGAGAUGUUGGGUUAAGUCCCGCAACGAGCGCAACCCUCGUUCUAUGUUGCCAGCACGUUAUGGUGGGGACUCAUAGGAGACUGCCGGGGUCAACUCGGAGGAAGGUGGGGAUGACGUCAAAUCAUCAUGCCCCUUAUGUCUUGGGCUUCACGCAUGCUACAAUGGCCGGUACAGAGGGUUGCGAUACUGUGAGGUGGAGCUAAUCCCUAAAAGCCGGUCUCAGUUCGGAUUGGGGUCUGCAACUCGACCCCAUGAAGUCGGAGUCGCUAGUAAUCGCAGAUCAGCAACGCUGCGGUGAAUACGUUCCCGGGCCU
RNAcentral lists this ribosomal RNA (1347 nucleotides) under uncultured bacterium. RNAcentral describes it as "bacterial SSU rRNA". It matches the Rfam family "Bacterial small subunit ribosomal RNA", at positions 28 to 1381 of the family's 1533-position model. The record is from RNAcentral.